UGGGGAAUAUUGCACAAUGGGCGCAAGCCUGAUGCAGCCAUGCCGCGUGUAUGAAGAAGGCCUUCGGGUUGUAAAGUACUUUCAGCGAGGAGGAAGGUGUUGUGGUUAAUAACCGCAGCAAUUGACGUUACUCGCAGAAGAAGCACCGGCUAACUCCGUGCCAGCAGCCGCGGUAAUACGGAGGGUGCAAGCGUUAAUCGGAAUUACUGGGCGUAAAGCGCACGCAGGCGGUUUGUCAAGUCGGAUGUGAAAUCCCCGGGCUCAACCUGGGAACUGCAUCCGAAACUGGCAGGCUAGAGUCUUGUAGAGGGGGGUAGAAUUCCAGGUGUAGCGGUGAAAUGCGUAGAGAUCUGGAGGAAUACCGGUGGCGAAGGCGGCCCCCUGGACAAAGACUGACGCUCAGGUGCGAAAGCGUGGGGAGCAAACA
RNAcentral lists this ribosomal RNA (427 nucleotides) under uncultured bacterium. RNAcentral's name for it is "partial 16S ribosomal RNA". It matches the Rfam family "Bacterial small subunit ribosomal RNA", at positions 355 to 774 of the family's 1533-position model. The record is from RNAcentral.